This 497-nucleotide ribosomal RNA is filed under the name uncultured bacterium. RNAcentral describes it as "partial 16S ribosomal RNA". It matches the Rfam family "Bacterial small subunit ribosomal RNA", at positions 28 to 507 of the family's 1533-position model. The record is from RNAcentral.
GAUGAACGCUGGCGGCGUGCCUAAUACAUGCAAGUCGAGCGAACAGACGAGGAGCUUGCUCCUCUGACGUUAGCGGCGGACGGGUGAGUAACACGUGGAUAACCUACCUAUAAGACUGGGAUAACUUCGGGAAACCGGAGCUAAUACCGGAUAAUAUAUUGAACCGCAUGGUUCAAUAGUGAAAGACGGUUUUGCUGUCACUUCUAGAUGGAUCCGCGCCGCAUUAGCUAGUUGGUAAGGUAACGGCUUACCAAGGCAACGAUGCGUAGCCGACCGGAGAGGGGGAUCGCCCACACUGGAGCUGACACACGGUCCAGACUCCUACGGGAGGCAGCAGUAGGGAAUCUUCCGCGAUGGGCGAAAGCCUGACGGAGCGGCGCCGCGUGGGUGAUGAAGGUCUGCGGAUCGUAAAACUCUGUUAUUGGUGAAGACCAAAUGUGUAAGUAACUAUGCACGUCUUGACGGUACCUGAACAGAAAGCCACGGCUAACUACGUG